GUGGGGUGAUGGCCUACCAAGGCGACGACGGGUAGCCGGCCUGAGAGGGUGACCGGCCACACUGGGACUGAGAUACGGCCCAGACUCCUACGGGAGGCAGCAGUGGGGAAUAUUGCACAAUGGGCGCAAGCCUGAUGCAGCGACGCCGCGUGGGGGAUGACGGCCUUCGGGUUGUAAACCUCUUUUAGCAGGGACGAAGCGCAAGUGACGGUACCUACAGAAGAAGGACCGGCCAACUACGUGCCAGCAGCCGCGGUAAUACGUAGGGCGCAAGCGUUAUCCGGAAUUACUGGGCGUAAAGAGCUCGUAGGCGGUUUGUCGCGUCUGCUGUGAAAUCCGGAGGCUCAACCUCCGGCCUGCAGUGGGUACGGGCAGACUAGAGUGCGGUAGGGGAGAUUGGAAUUCCUGGUGUAGCGGUGGAAUGCGCAGAUAUCAGGAGGAACACCGAUGGCGAAGGCGGGUCUCUGGGCAGUAACUGACGCUGAGGAGCGAAAGCGUGGGGAGCGAACAGGAUUAGAUACCCUGGUAGUCCACGCCGUAAACGGUGGGUACUAGGUGUGGGUUUCCUUCCUUGGGAUCCGUGCCGUAGCUAACGCAUUAAGUACCCCGCCUGGGGAGUACGGCCGCAAGGCUAAAACUCAAAGGAAUUGACGGGUCCCCGCACAAGCGGCGGAGCAUGCGGCUUAAUUCGAUGCAACCCGAAGAACCUUACCUGGGUUUGACAUCACGGGAAAAGCUGUAGAAAUACAGUGUCCGUAAGGGCCCGUGACAGGUGGUGCAUGGCUGUCGUCAGCUCGUGUCGUGAGAUGUUGGGUUAAGUCCCGCAACGAGCGCAACCCUUGUCCUAUGUUGCCAGC
This 857-nucleotide ribosomal RNA is filed under the name uncultured soil bacterium. RNAcentral describes it as "bacterial SSU rRNA". It matches the Rfam family "Bacterial small subunit ribosomal RNA", at positions 252 to 1122 of the family's 1533-position model. The record is from RNAcentral.